UGGGGAAUAUUGCACAAUGGGCACAAGCCUGAUGCAGCCAUGCCGCGUGUGUGAAGAAGGCCUUCGGGUUGUAAAGCACUUUCAGCGAGGAGGAAGGUGGUGAGCUUAAUACGCUCAUCAAUUGACGUUACUCGCAGAAGAAGCACCGGCUAACUCCGUGCCAGCAGCCGCGGUAAUACGGAGGGUGCAAGCGUUAAUCGGAAUUACUGGGCGUAAAGCGCACGCAGGCGGUUUGUUAAGUCAGGUGUGAAAUCCCCGGGCUCAACCUGGGAACUGCAUUUGAAACUGGCAAGCUAGAGUCUCGUAGAGGGGGGUAGAAUUCCAGGUGUAGCGGUGAAAUGCGUAGAGAUCUGGAGGAAUACCGGUGGCGAAGGCGGCCCCCUGGACGAAGACUGACGCUCAGGUGCGAAAGCGUGGGGCAGCAAACAGGAUUAGAUACCCUGGUAGUCCACGCUGUAAAACGAUGUCGAUUUUGGAGGUUGUGCCCUUGAGGCGUGGCUUCCGGAGCUAACGCGUUAAAUCGACCGCCUGGGGAGUACGGCCGCAAGGUUAAAACUUAAAUGAAUUGACGGGGUC
Molecule: ribosomal RNA, 576 nt
Filed under: uncultured bacterium
Lineage: Bacteria
Description: partial 16S ribosomal RNA
Rfam family: Bacterial small subunit ribosomal RNA
Source: RNAcentral